Sarcophilus harrisii (Tasmanian devil) is the source of this 3382-nucleotide RNA transcript. It is a transcript of the gene named FA complementation group E, with no coding region annotated. NCBI's taxonomy places the organism in Eukaryota, Metazoa, Chordata, Mammalia, Dasyuromorphia, Dasyuridae. The record is from RefSeq and is a predicted model, not a curated record. The transcript has 10 exons.
GCUCACCUUCCCAGCCUGCGUAGCCGUCCCAUCUCGCUCCUAGGACUGCCCCUUCUCGCGUCAUCUGGAGGCGGGGGCGGGCCGAAGAAGGCGGAAAUGAUUUGAGAUGAGCACGCCCGCCUCUGCUUUCCCAAUGACCCGAGGCUUCCCGCCCGCAUCCCGCUCGAGUGGCUUCGGGGUCUCGUGAUCCGUGAAGGAGGUUCUGAUCCUUGACCUCUAACCUCAGAGUCUCGGCAAUCUUAAAGAUCGGGUUUUUUUUUUCCGUAGCAAGAUGCCAUCUCAGCCUCCCGGGCAGCUGAGCCGGCCCGCAGCUGACCUUGGUCCGCCGGUGGAGGGGUGGGCGGCGCGGUUAGGGACCCGGAUGGAGCCCCCAGCCCUGCUCCUGCUGCGGCUCCUGCAGUCCGGGCCCGGGGGCGUGCUGGGAGCGCUCAGGGCCCUCCCACGGCUCCGGGCUGGGGGCUCCGAGCGGCCCUUCCGCUGGGGGCCCUUCCUGGAGGCGCUGAGCCGAGAGCAGCCCGUGCUGGAGGGGCCCGACCGCCGCCUGAAGCUGAAGCCACUGCUGCUGCAGUUGCCCCAGCUGUGCCAAAGGAACCUCUUGUCCUUGCUGUUAAUUGUACAGACUGAGCUUCCCAAGAGUGGACUCCUCCUUGUACUCCAGGCAGCCAAGCAGGAUUCUAACCUGGACUCCUGGAUUUGGGCCCUGGGGGAAUUGCUUCACAGGGAACUGAUUACAGAUGAGGUCACCAAAGAGGCCUCCCCUUUGACACAAGGAUGCCGGGAACAGCUCCAAAGGCUUUGUGGACAUUUAGGCAGAGGAUUGAGGUCAAGCUAUCCCUUGGACCUUGAGGAGACUGAGGACAGGGGCACUCAGCGUCCUGGCAAACGCAAGAAGGAGCCUGAAGGAGAGCCUGAGGGCUCUGAGAAAGAAGUGCUCUUUAAGAGACCUCGAUCCCUGGAAGGGAAAGGAAAAAUAGAAGAGGAACAGCAGCUCCAGGAGAGGACUACAGAUGAACAGGGAUCAUCUGUAUGUGGAAGCAGAGAAUCACCCCAAAGAACUGAGGGCAGCAGUGAUCAGUCCAUUCUGGAAGCAGCAGGCAUGAGGGCUGAUGACAGACAACAUGAGAAGCUGGUUGAGGGUCAGGAAUUACCCAAAGCCAUCAAGGACCAGGUUCCCCGAAUGCUAGAGCUACUGGAAACUGAAUGGGAGGGCCUAGAGGGAACCCCACCCCUCGAGCUGCAGUUUCUUCAUGAGUGCAGCCCUAACCAGCUAGAGAACCUUUGCUCGAAGCUGCGGCUCUCUCAGCUCCCAGACACAGCCCUCCUACAGUUCUGUAAUCGGCUCUUGGCACUCUCUCCAGACCUUAGCUGUAGCAGUGCCACCAUACUUGCAAGAAACCUUUUCCUUGAACAGGUUCUUUCCCUGACAGCUUCAGCCUCUCGACUGCUCAGAGCUGCCAUGAUUGCGUUCAGUGCCAGAUAUCCUCAUCCUGUCUGUAGUGGCCUCUUGAUUCCAGCCUUACAGGCCGCAGGCUCAGGCCCCACACAGACAGAGCUUCUUUGUUGCCUGCUAGAGGGGGACACUCUGGAAGCGGACUUGCUGGUGCUGGUGUUAAAGACCUCUCUUCUACAGACAAAUCUUGGAGUUACCCUGGAGAGAGGAGACCUUCAUAGUAAUGCAGUCCCUUCUAGGGCGACAGAUGGACCUGUCCCCAGAGAACUUCAGCGUCUUAGUGCAAAAGCUAUCCCUUGAAGGCCUGGCUGCUGCUGAUUCUGUGGGCUGUGCCAAGCUGGUCCUGACAGUUGUGACAAAGUACCAAGAUCAGAUCACAGAAGCACACAAAGCCUGCCUUGCUUCUGCAGUGGAGUUCAACACCACCUUCCUGAAAAAACCUAUUCAGGCUGCACUAAGACGUUUAACCUCGUGAGGUACCUUCCCCACCAGUUCCUAAAGAACAUCUGCCUCAGCUUUAACCUGCCUUCACUAUUAGCUCUCUAGCAGAGUAAGAUCAUCAGGUUUGACUGCUCAUCCCGGUAGCUGCUCCAGAAUACUCAGAUCUUCUUCUAUGGCACAAAUGAUGUCCACCUUUCUGGACAAGAAAGAAAUGGAAACAAGUUAGAAAUGAUUUGGGGUUAUGCAGAGGAAUGAUCUUACAAACUUAGAGAAAUUAAAGUUGAUUCCGCUAAGUCUGAAUUGAGCAGAUACUCUAAGAUGUCUGCUAUCAUAGAUUUCUUUGACUGUCAGUUUUGUUGAAGUUCGGGAAGGGCUGCUAAACAGAGGCUCAGAGUUGACUGCCUGCAUUUCUCCAUAUAAACCCUUUCUAGUCCUCCCUGAGAACCAUCACUUUUAACAUAGAAUGACAAAGAAGAAGAAGGAAAAAAAAAAAAAAACAGUUCAACAAAAUGGGCAUGAGCUAUUGAGUUACAUGUCUUCCUUCUUCUCAUUGACCUUUUUCUGCUUCUGUUGCAUCUCCCUGUCCUUCUGCUUCCGGGCAGCAACAGAGAGUGCAGCAUUUUCCCUUGUCUGAGUUGCUUUGCUUUUUCAUGUUCUUCUGGCGGGCAAACUCACACUGGUUGCCUCAGGUCAUGGCAACGACUCCAGUCUGAGUUAGUAGUGUCCAAUAGCACCCUGUUUCUCUUGGUGCCCAAAAGAGAGGGAGAUUCAUUUCUCAUUUCUCUUUUGGAGGCAAGCUUGGUCAUCUUAAUUUUAUAUAUUCAGUUUCUGUUGUUCUGUUGUUUCUGUUUCCAUCUACAUUGUUGUAGUCAUUUUAUGUGCUGUUUUCUGGUCCUACUUAACUUCAUUCUGCAUCAGUUCAUGUACUUCUUUCCAUCUUUCCCUGUAUUCAUGACAAUUUGUUAUUCAUAACUACCUCCUUUUUUUCUACUUUGCUACUGUGAAAAGUGAUGCAAAUAUAAUUAUUUUGAUGUUAUUAUUUGGUGUCUUUCUUUUUAUUAUUUUUUAUCACUGACUUUCUUAGAGUAUAUGAAUCAGGAUAGCUGGUAUAGAAAGUGGGAAAGGAAAUUGGACUAAAAACCUGAACUGUGUCUUAUACCCAGUGAUUUUCUUUUAUAUUAAAGAACAAUUUUUUUAUUCUGAACUUGACAAACACCAAAUAAAAUGUUCAUUUCCAUAGGUCAGUAGUAUUAUCUAUUUUAUUGUAUUGUUAAUUGUUUUAUUAAAUAUUUCCCAGUUACAUUUUAAUAUGGUUCCAGCAUACUCUGGAGUGUUGUAGGCCAAAUGCAGCCAACAGGCCACAUGUUGAAUGCCUUUGCUUUAUACAAAGUAGAUCAGAUAAUGAGGAUUGUACUUGAAGCCAUGAAUCUAUUACUGCUUAUCUUUUUCCUACACAUAUAUAAUAAAUACAGUAUUUUAUUUUCAAAACUG